Molecule: ribosomal RNA, 247 nt
Filed under: uncultured bacterium
Lineage: Bacteria
Description: partial 16S ribosomal RNA
Rfam family: Bacterial small subunit ribosomal RNA
Source: RNAcentral
CACGCCGUAAACGAUGGAUGCUAGCUGUUAGGAGUAUCGACCCUUCUAGUAGCGAAGCUAACGCGUUAAGCAUCCCGCCUGGGGAGUACGAACGCAAGUUUAAAACUCAAAGGAAUUGACGGGGACCCGCACAAGUGGUGGAGCGUGUUCUUUAAUUCGAAGCUAAGCGAAGAACCUUACCAGGGCUUGACAUCCUUGGAAUUUCUGCGAAAGCAGAAAGUGCCUUUUGGAACCAAGUGACAGGUGU